Long non-coding RNA from Sinocyclocheilus grahami, 873 nucleotides. RefSeq lists it as uncharacterized. NCBI's taxonomy places the organism in Eukaryota, Metazoa, Chordata, Actinopteri, Cypriniformes, Cyprinidae. The record is from RefSeq and is a predicted model, not a curated record. The transcript is spliced from 3 exons.
UCAGUUUUUAUACGCAUAAAAAUAUUUCAUAUUAUUACAGUACAGUAUAACAGUGACCGUCAGUUGCUUUCUUUUCAUCUUUUUGUAUGAAGCGCCGACCGCGCCACGUCACAAUCACCUACCGAACUCGCGUGAGUCCUCCCACCGCCCACGCGUGACAUCCGAAAGAAUACAAAAUGAAAUAAAUAAAUAACGUUACAUGAGCAAGGUGCAGUUCCGCCAGGAGCCGUGAGUGUGUGUGCGCGCGUGAAUGUGUGUGUGGCGUCUGUCUGAAACAUCAACCGCUUGCGUUAGACAUUCAAAACGGGGGAAAUAUCAGCACCACCAUCCUCAUCAUCUUCAUCAUCCUCCUUCUGUUCCGGGCGGAAAACCUGUGCGCGCGCCAGCCAAAUUAAAUUAGAGUGGUGAAAUUAUUUGUGCGAGCUGCCUAUGAAGGGGAGGAAGGUGUGACACACACACUACAGAGUGUGUGUUGUGGUUUGCAUUAGUGUUAAUGCUCUUACUUACUACUCUCUUAAUUAUCAACCGUGCAAAACUGGAGCACACAUGUCGUGAUCUGAGAAAAGCAUCGGGUUAUUCUUAUGGAUUAACAUAUGAUCUGAAUUCAACCCAGGUCAAUGUUUAAUGGAUGAGUUCUGGUAAACUAGGGCGAGCAUUUCUUUCACAGCAUUCAACAAGUAUUGCUUUGUGCUGCUUUAAUGCUGGUGCAUUCAUGGUGACAUGCAUUGAUUCUUACACCAGCAUUCAUGUGGAAUAACACGAGCAGCAUUCGUGCAGGGUGUCAGGGAUGAGUAAUCCGGGAGAGACGGAGACAGAGAGAGAAACAGACAACAGAGCAGAGCUUGUGUGAACUCGUGAAAUAAAAGCAUGGAA